AGUGGCGAACGGGUGAGUAACACGUGAGCAACCUGCCCCUAACUCUGGGAUAACGCUUCGAAAGGAGUGCUAAUACCGGAUACCAGCUAGGAGGACAUCCUCUUGGCUUGAAAGUUUUUCGGUUAGGGAUGGGCUCGCGGCCUAUCAGCUAGUUGGUGAGGUAAAAGCUCACCAAGGCGACGACGGGUAUCCGGCCUGAGAGGGCGACCGGACACACUGGGACUGAGACACGGCCCAGACUCC
RNAcentral lists this ribosomal RNA (243 nucleotides) under uncultured bacterium. RNAcentral's name for it is "partial 16S ribosomal RNA". It matches the Rfam family "Bacterial small subunit ribosomal RNA", at positions 94 to 339 of the family's 1533-position model. The record is from RNAcentral.